This 1245-nucleotide ribosomal RNA is filed under the name metagenome. Its description in RNAcentral is "SSU rRNA". It matches the Rfam family "Eukaryotic small subunit ribosomal RNA", at positions 488 to 1758 of the family's 1831-position model. The record is from RNAcentral.
GAUCUCUUUGAGGCCCGUUAUCGGAAUGAGAACAAUUCAAAUCCUUUAACGAGGAUCUAGCGGAGGGCAAGUCUGGUGCCAGCAGCCGCGGUAAUUCCAGCUCCGCAGGUGUAUAUCUAUGCUGCUGCGGUUAAAAAGCUCGUAGUUGGAUCUGCGUGCUCGGAACUGGUUGGCUCACUGAGUUCAAACUGGUCUCCGGCGCUUUAUUGGCUGGUUUUCCCUUGAUGCUCUUAACCGGGUGUCUUGGGUGGCUAGCACGUUUACUUUGAAAAAAUUAGAGUGCUCAAUACAGGCGUAAAGCCUUGAAUAGUGGUGCAUGGAAUAAUAGAAUAGGACCUCGGCUCUAUUUUGUUGGUUUUCGGAACGCGAGGUAAUGAUUAAGAGGGACAGACGGGGGCAUUCGUAUUGCGACGUUAGAGGUGAAAUUCUUGGAUCGUCGCAAGACGGACGACUGCGAAAGCAUUUGCCAAGAAUGUUUUCAUUAAUCAAGAUCGAAAGUUAGAGGUUCGAAGGCGAUCAGAUACCGCCCUAGUUCUAACCGUAAACGAUGCCAACUAGCGAUUCGCAGGCGUUAAACAACGACCUUGCGGGCAGCUUCCCGGAAACGAAAGUGUUCGGGUUCCGGGGGAAGUAUGGUUGCAAAGCUGAAACUUAAAGGAAUUGACGGAAGGGCACCACCAGGAGUGGAGCCUGCGGCUUAAUUUGACCCAACACGGGAAAACUCACCCGGCCCGGACACCGUAAGGAUUGACAGAUUGAGAGCUCUUUCUUGAUUCGGUGGGUGGUGGUGCAUGGCCGUUCUUAGUUGGUGGAGCGAUUUGUCUGGUUUAUUCCGAUAACGAACGAGACUCUGGCCUACUAAAUAGUGGGCGGAUUCUUUCUGUCCGCAACACUUCUUAGAGGGACAAGCGGUGUUCAGCCGCACGAGAUUGAGCAAUAACGGGUCUGUGAUGCCCUUAGAUGUCCGGGGCUGCACGCGCGCUACACUGAAGGAAUCAGCGUGCUUUCUGACCUUGCCCGAAAGGGCUGGGUAACCCGAUGAAAAUCCUUCGUGAUUGGGAUAGGGACUUGCAAUUAUUUCCCUUGAACGAGGAAUUCCCAGUAAGUGUGGGUCAUAAGCUCGCGUUGAUUACGUCCCUGCCCUUUGUACACACCGCCCGUCGCUGCCCGGAACUGAGCCGUUUCGAGAAGAACAGGGACCGUCGUUGAAGGGCCUUAACGGGCUUUUCUCUGAUAGAAACUGUU